AGAGUUUGAUUCUGGCUCAGAACGAACGCUGGCGGCGUGGAUAAGACAUGCAAGUCGAACGGGAAACAUUUGAUAGUAAUAUUGGAUGUUUCUAGUGGCGAAAGGGUGCGUAACACGUGGGUAAUCUACCGUAAAGUUGGGAAUAACUUCGAGAAAUCGAUGCUAAUACCGGAUGUGAUUUAUUUGGGACAUCCCGAAUAAAUUAAAGCUGGGGACCUUCGGGCCUGGCGCUUUACGAUGAGCCCGCGGCCUAUCAGCUUGUUGGUAAGGUAACGGCUUACCAAGGCUAAGACGGGUAGCCGGUCUGAGAGGAUGGUCGGCCACACUGGAACUGAGACACGGUCCAGACACCUACGGGUGGCAGCAGUCGAGAAUCAUUCACAAUGGGGGAAACCCUGAUGGUGCGACGCCGCGUGGGGGAUGAAGGUCUUCGGAUUGUAAACCCCUGUCAUUUGUGAACAACCGUUUAAAUUUAAUAGAUUUAAACCUGAUAGUAGCAAAAGAGGAAGGGACGGCUAACUCAGUGCCAGCAGCCGCGGUAAUACUGAGGUCCCAAGCGUUGUUCGGAUUUACUGGGCGUAAAGGGUGCGUAGGUGGCCAGGAAAGUUUGAUGUGAAAGCCCCGAGCUCAACUCGGGAAUUGCAUUGGAUACUACUUGGCUUGAGGAUCGGAGGGGAGACUGGAAUUCUCGGUGUAGCAGUGAAAUGCGUAGAUAUCGAGAGGAACACCAGUGGCGAAGGCGAGUCUCUGGACGAUUCCUGACACUGAGGCACGAAAGCUAGGGGAGCAAACAGGAUUAGAUACCCUGGUAGUCCUAGCCGUAAACGGUGCACACUUGCUGUAGGCGGAUUCGACCCCGUCUGUGGCGGAGCAAACGCGUUAAGUGUGCCGCCUGGGGAGUACGGUCGCAAGAUUAAAACUCAAAGAAAUUGACGGGGGCCUGCACAAGCGGUGGAGUAUGUGGCUUAAUUCGAU
Molecule: ribosomal RNA, 975 nt
Filed under: metagenome
Description: bacterial SSU rRNA
Rfam family: Bacterial small subunit ribosomal RNA
Source: RNAcentral